GCGCCCUUAGCUCAGCUGGAUAGAGCAUCGGCCUUCUAAGCCGCAGGUCGCAGGUUCGAAUCCUGCAGGGCGCACCA
RNAcentral lists this transfer RNA (77 nucleotides) under Caedimonas sp. Its description in RNAcentral is "tRNA-Arg". It matches the Rfam family "tRNA". From Rfam's summary of the family: Transfer RNA (tRNA) molecules are approximately 80 nucleotides in length. Their secondary structure includes four short double-helical elements and three loops (D, anti-codon, and T loops). The record is from RNAcentral. Lineage: Bacteria; Pseudomonadati; Pseudomonadota; Alphaproteobacteria; Holosporales; Caedimonadaceae.